UUUCUUGAUUGUAGUUGCAAGAUCUCAAAUAAUAAGAAUUUGCUCUCUUAUUAAUCUUAAGGAAAAUCCUCUCAAAACCUUAAGCUCACACUCACAAUCUUAAAACUCUCUAGGUUGCAACAACUCUGCAACUCUCUUUAUAUAAGAAAAGAUAUCUCCUAAUCUUAUUAGUAAAACCUAUUAUAGAUAACUCCAAAUCCGCUUAGUAAACCAUAUCUCGGUGGGAUUAGGAUAACUUGAUUCCCAAGCUAAUUCAAGCUUACUCCAACAUUCUCCCCCUUAAGCUUGAAACCAUCUCUUGCCAAGUCUUCAACGCCAACUAACCUUCUCAUCUCUUUGUAUCGAAUCCUUGCGAGUGCUUUCGUUAAGAUAUCUGCUCGUUGCUCGCUUCCUGCAAUGUGAUGAACCUCUAUCAAGUUGUUGUCCACGCAUUCCCUUAUGAAGUGAUAUCGUCUAUGGAUGUGUUUGCUUCGACCGUGAAACACUGGAUUCUUAGUGAGAGCUAUAGCUGAUUUAUUGUCAAUGUAUAUCACCACUUUCUCACACGGCUUUCCAAUUAUCUCACUAAGAAGAUCUUGAAGCCAAAUAGAUUGUUUUGCUGCCUCAGUUGCUGCCAUGAACUCUGCUUCACAAGAUGAUAGAGCCACCGUUUCCUGCUUCUGAGAACACCAGGUGAUAGGCGAGUCAAGGAAGUAGAAAACGUGGCCAGUAGUGCUUCUUCCAUCGUCAUCGUCAACAUUGUGGCUUUUGUCGCUGUAUCCACUAAGCCUCGGGUUGUCUCCUUUCCUGAAAGUAAGCCCAUGAGACCGGGUUCCCUGUAGGUAACGAAGUAUCUGCUUGAUAGCUGCUGCGUGUGAGGUCCUUGGCUCUGCCAUGUACCUACUCAUUACCCCCACAGAGUAGGAGAGAUCGGGUCUGGUGUGCAAAAGAUAUCUAAGACAACCGAUGUUUCUUCUGUACUCCUUCUCAUCUACUCGUCCUUCAUUACAUGCCUUAGAAAUCUUCAGGCUUGGGUCCAUGGGAACAUGAACCAUGUUACAGUCUUGCAUUCUCGUUUCCUCUAAUAUCUUUUUAGCAUAUCUCUCUUGCUUCAAAGUGAUUCCUUCAUCGUGUUGUUCGACCUCAAUACCUAGGUAAUAUGUGAGUUUUCCUAAGUCACUCAUCUCAAACCGUGCUGACAUUCCCCUUUUAAACUCGAUGACCAGUUCCAUGCUUGUUCCUGUUACAAGAAGGUCAUCAACAUACACGGCUACGAGAAGUAGAUGUUCUUUAUCUUGUCGUCGAUACAGAGCUGGCUCCUUAGCACACUUCACAAAUUUCAGUUCUCCAAGCACUUUAUUUAACUUUUCAUUCCAAGCUCUUGGAGCCUGACGCAACCCAUAGAGAGCUUUGUUUAGUUUAUAUACUCUGUUCUCUUGUCCUUUAACUUCAAAGCCUUCCGGUUGAACAACAUAAACUUCUUCCUUUAGAUCGCCGUGGAGAAAUGCAGUUUUGACGUCUAGAUGAUGCACUUCCCAACCCUUAGAAGCAGCGAGUGAUAGUAUAAAGCGGACGGUCUCAAUGCGUGCGACAGGGGCAAAUACUUCAUCAAAAUCGAUGCCAUGACGCUGAAUGUAACCUUUUGCUACCAAUCUUGCUUUAUACUUGUUGAUGCUUCCAUCAGAGUUACGUUUCACUUUGAAGAUCCACUUCAGGCCAAUCGCCUUAGCUCCAGCAGGGAGAUCAGUUAGAUCCCAAGUUUUGUUUUUCACUAUUGACGAUAUCUCAUCGUCACACGCAUCACGCCAAACUUUCUCGAGCUUUGCUUCCUCAAAGCUCCAUGGUUCACCGUUAACACUUAGUAGUAAGCGUUCUCCUUCGACUUCUGCCAAUAGAACGUAAUCAUCUAGGUAGCUUGGCUUCCUAGUUUCUCUUUGGGAUCGUCUCAACCCCGUUUCAGCACUUUCUUCAUCGUCAUCUUCGAUCUCAGCUUGAUCUUCGGUCUCAUGAUCCUCUGCUUCCUCUGUUUUUAUUACUUCAUCUCCGUACAUCGUAUCAAUUUUGUUUUCUCGAUUUAUCUCAUCACCUUCAUUGAUUCCAUGGUUUCCAUAUUCUCCGAUCUCAACAUUGAGUGGCUCUACACUUUCUUCUUUCUCACAAUUCUUCCAAUCCCAACUUUUGUUUUCAUCAAAACAUACAUCUCUGCUUACCACCACUUUUCUGUUUAUUGGAUCAAGUAAUCGAUACGCUUUCGAUCCUGGUUCCGUGCCGAGAUGUAUCAGCAGUCGAGAUCGAUCAUCUAACUUCUUUAGAUGACCCUUUUCAACCUUAGCAUAAGAGACGCAUCCAAAAACCCGAACAUGAUCAAGUCUUGGCUUGCUUCCUUUGUACGCUUCGUAUGGAGUUGUGUUCACGAGCACCCGCGUCGCUACUCUAUUAAUGAUGUAUGUAGCGUGCCUUACUGCUUCACCCCAGAGAUAAUUAGGCAGGCUCAUGUGUUUCAAGAUGCUUCUAGUCAUGCCUAAGAGGGUUCGGUUCCGUCGUUCUACAACCCCGUUUUGCUGCGGGGUGUAUGGGGCUGUGAGCUGUCUCGCAAUUCCAUUGUUUUCACAGUAAGAUUGAAACUCGCUUGAAACAAAUUCUCCUCCUCUAUCGGUUCUAAAAGUAGCAAUGGUAGUUCCUGUCUCUUUCUCAACGAUCGCUUUGAACUUUCUAAACUUCUCAAACGUCUCUCCUUUCUCCCUAAGAAGUAUAGACCACAUGUAUCGAGAAUAAUCAUCAAUGAGAACGAAUAUAUACCUCUUCUUUGAUGGUGUAAUGGGUGUAAUGGGUGUUAUUGGGCCACAGAGGUCUCCAUGUAUAAGUUCAAGUGUUCUCUCAGCUCUAAAAGAUGUUGCUUGCGGGAAGGGUUGUCUUGCUUGUUUUCCAAGUAAGCAGCUUGAACAAGUUCCUUUAUCGAUUACAAUCUUAGGUAUACCCAAGACGAGUUCCUUGCUGAUCAUUGACCUCAUUGACUCUCUACCUAUGUGUCCCAAUCUUGCAUGCCAUCGUUCGGAUUCGCUUGAAACUGAAAUCUGUAAACAUCUUUCAGUAACGAUGUCGAUGAUGACUUUGUAUAAGCGGUUUUGUGAUCUCUUUGCUUUUGUUAUCAGCUUGCCAUCUUUGUCUCUUAGCGUAAGAUACUCGUCUCUCAUUCUCACGUCACAACCGGCUUCCGUAGCUUGUCCAAGACUAAUUAUAUUACUCCUAAGGUCUGGUAUGUAGUAGACAUCAGACAAGAGUUUCUUUCCUCCAUCUUUACUGUAAAAUAGGAUCGAGCCCUUGCCUUUAAUGUCAAUGCGCGAAUCGUCUCCAAACCUUACUUUUCCUGUGAUAGUUUCAUCAAUCCGUUUAAAAUACUUGCGGUUGCCGGUCAUGUGGUUGCUUGCUCCAUUAUCUAAGUACCAGACAUUGUCUUUGCUUGCCUCAAACUCUUUAGGAUUAACAUUCUUCUCGUUAAGGUACACAACCUCUUGCAUCAUUAAUUCCUCUGCCUCAAGUGUGCUUUCAUCUUUUGUCUCGGUGACUUCUUGUAGUUUCAGAAGUCGAUCAGGACAAGUUGAUGCGUAAUGUCCAUGCUUGUCACAGCGGAAACAUUGGAUCUUCGACAUGUCAAAAUUCUCUUGGUAGCGAUCGUUGUAGCGAUCGUUAUACCUGCCUCGUCCUCUUCCGCGGUUAUAGUAACGUCCACCACGUCCACGACCUCUAUAGUUGUUAUAACCCUGAUUAUAUGAGUUCGAGGUAGGUUGAGAUUCGUUGUUUGCGUACAUGAGUUUGUUCUGUGUCUCCUCUGUUUCUUCUUCUUCUUUCACUCUAUCUUCAUAAGCUUUUAAUCUCCCGAUGAUGUCUUCGAAGGUUGUGGUUUUGAGGUCAAGAACUUGCUCUAAUGACGCAACAAUGUGUAUAAACUUCUUUCUAGGAAGACUAGAUAGAAAUUUUUUCACGAGUUUGUGUUCUUCGAUGGUUUCUCCUAGAGCGAUUGACUUUGAUGAGAUUUCCGCUAGCUUUCCAACAAAAUCAUCAAUGGUGUCAUUAUCUUUCAUCUUCAAUCUCUCGAAUUCUGCCAUUAACGUCUGUAGUCUUGCUUCACGAACUCGUUCUGCGCCCAUGUACCUUGAUUUUAUUGCGUCCCAAACUUUCUUUGCUGUGUCGAGAUCACUUACUUGUAGCACAAGUACUUCAGGUAUGGAUUGAAAAAUUAGGGCUGUGGCCAUGUCAUUCUUCUCUCCGACAUCCGACUCGCUUUCCACCGCAUCCCAAACUUUGUGUACCUUUAAUAACAGCUUAAUCCUGAUUGCCCAGACCGUGUAGUUAGUUGUCGUGAGCAUAGGACACUUUAUUGUGGAGGAGGAACCUCCUCCUUCCUUCGGUUUCGAAAUAACGAUGUCUCCCAUGAUUAUCUCUUAAUAGCUCCUGGAAGCUCUGAUACCAAAUAUAGUUUAGUUUCUUGAUUGUAGUUGCAAGAUCUCAAAUAAUAAGAAUUUGCUCUCUUAUUAAUCUUAAGGAAAAUCCUCUCAAAACCUUAAGCUCACACUCACAAUCUUAAAACUCUCUAGGUUGCAACAACUCUGCAACUCUCUUUAUAUAAGAAAAGAUAUCUCCUAAUCUUAUUAGUAAAACCUAUUAUAGAUAACUCCAAAUCCGCUUAGUAAACCAUAUCUCGGUGGGAUUAGGAUAACUUGAUUCCCAAGCUAAUUCAAGCUUACUCCAACA
RNAcentral lists this long non-coding RNA (4731 nucleotides) under Brassica napus (rape). Its description in RNAcentral is "long non-coding RNA (BNAP_LNC002081)". The record is from RNAcentral. Lineage: Eukaryota; Viridiplantae; Streptophyta; Magnoliopsida; Brassicales; Brassicaceae.